CGGUGAACCCGCUUCGGUGGGGGAUCAGUGGCGAACGGGUGAGUAACACGUGGGCAACCUGCCCCCGGCUCCGGGAUAACUCCAAGAAAUUGGGGCUAAUACCGGAUAUGUCCGCUGACCGCAUGGUCUGGUGGUGGAAAGGGUUUCCGGCUGGGGAUGGGCCCGCGGCCUAUCAGCUUGUUGGUGGGGUAGUGGCCUACCAAGGCGACGACGGGUAGCCGGCCUGAGAGGGUGACCGGCCACACUGGGACUGAGACACGGCCCAGACUCCUACGGGAGGCAGCAGUGGGGAAUAUUGCGCAAUGGGCGAAAGCCUGACGCAGCGACGCCGCGUGGGGGAUGACGGCCUUCGGGUUGUAAACCUCUUUCAGCAGGGACGAAGCCGUGAGGUGACGGUACCUGCAGAAGAAGCACCGGCCAACUACGUGCCAGCAGCCGCGGUAAUACGUAGGGUGCAAGCGUUGUCCGGAAUUAUUGGGCGUAAAGAGCUCGUAGGCGGUUCGUCGCGUCGGCUGUGAAAUCCCGAGGCUCAACCUCGGGUCUGCAGUCGAUACGGGCGGACUGGAGUUCGGCAGGGGAGACUGGAAUUCCUGGUGUAGCGGUGAAAUGCGCAGAUAUCAGGAGGAACACCGGUGGCGAAGGCGGGUCUCUGGGCCGAUACUGACGCUGAGGAGCGAAAGCGUGGGGAGCGAACAGGAUUAGAUACCCUGGUAGUCCACGCCGUAAACGUUGGGCGCUAGGUGUGGGGGCCAUUCCACGGUCUCCGUGCCGCAGCUAACGCAUUAAGCGCCCCGCCUGGGGAGUAC
This 806-nucleotide ribosomal RNA is filed under the name Geodermatophilus sp. RNAcentral describes it as "bacterial SSU rRNA". It matches the Rfam family "Bacterial small subunit ribosomal RNA", at positions 67 to 883 of the family's 1533-position model. The record is from RNAcentral. Lineage: Bacteria; Bacillati; Actinomycetota; Actinomycetes; Geodermatophilales; Geodermatophilaceae.